CGGCAAUUCAGAAAGUCUGCAUCUUUGGGCGUAUAAUACCCGACCAGUAGGAGCACACUGGUUGUUGCUUGCUAUCAACCCUAUAAGAGAAGUCGUGUAUUAUCUGAAUUCGGUAAAUGGUGACUGGACCAAUUAUCCGGCUAUGAAGGAAAUCGUUGAUUUAUCAAUACAAGUGUUCCGAAGUCAACGGGACGCACAGGUAUCCCGGACUAAAUCAAACAACAUUACUUGGAUCAAAGUGCAGUGUCCGCAACAGCGAAACAGUUCAGAUUGCGGAUACUUUGUUUUGAGGUUUAUGAAAGAAAUCCUUCAGGCGAAUCAAUUAGAGAUUCCGCUCACG
Vicia villosa (hairy vetch) is the source of this 340-nucleotide long non-coding RNA. RefSeq lists it as uncharacterized. The transcript is spliced from 4 exons. The record is from RefSeq and is a predicted model, not a curated record. NCBI's taxonomy places the organism in Eukaryota, Viridiplantae, Streptophyta, Magnoliopsida, Fabales, Fabaceae.